GCCCUGGUGGCACAAUGGUUAAAGCACUUGGCUGCUACCCAAAAGAUGGUGGUUCAAACCCACUCAACAGCU
RNAcentral lists this transfer RNA (72 nucleotides) under Loxodonta africana (African savanna elephant). It matches the Rfam family "tRNA". Rfam says of the family: Transfer RNA (tRNA) molecules are approximately 80 nucleotides in length. Their secondary structure includes four short double-helical elements and three loops (D, anti-codon, and T loops). Lineage: Eukaryota; Metazoa; Chordata; Mammalia; Proboscidea; Elephantidae. The record is from Rfam by way of RNAcentral.